ACUCACCAGCCCUGGCUUCACAGGUGGUGACAGCACGGCCCCAGCACCACGAACCACUCAUGUGAACUUCCCUUCUCCCCUGUCACUAGAGGAUCCCAGCACAUCCCAGGAGAGAUGGAGCCUGCCGGAAGACUGAUCCUGAUGCGACACUCUCUUCCCUCCCUGAGCCCCAAUCUCGGGUGGAGGCCACAUCUGUUCCUCCUGCUCUGGGCGCUUCUUCCUUUCUGUUUCCCUUUCAGUGUGGAAGAGUGGCCGCUUGCCCAGCAGGACGGUCCCAAAUAGCAUGGCUUUUCCAGGCACGGUGCUGUCGGCCGCACAGAACAGGACCCUCCCGGCAGCUCCGGCUUGCACAGCAUCCGCCUGUCUGGCCCCUGUGGAAGUAUCUGACUCCCAACGCCCAGACUGGAGCGGGGGCAAAGGACACAGCCCGACCCCAGAGGCACACAGAGCCAGCCCUCCACGGAAGAACGUGCCCAGGAACUGUGGGCUGGGCCUUCCUGCCUCCUCCCCUGCCGCGAAAGCGAUGCCAGGGGCAGGUGAGGGUCGGACGCGCUCAGGCCCAGCCCUCGCCCCUUCAGGUCUGGGGGACACAGUGGAGUCCCAGCCUCAAGAAGUUUCCCCAACCUCUCAGAAACUUGAAGGGCAAUGCCAGGUACCGAAAAACCGGCCCCCGCCCCUUAUCCCCGGCCGACCCGUCCGCCGAGGUGGCUGCCCUGGGAACCUCCUGUUCCUCGUCCAGGAGAGGAAACGCACACCCGGGCCGGACGCACAGAAGCCGCACCCUGGCUGGGGCCACAAGCCUGACAGCUACCGACAAGCCCCCACCCACAGGAGCACGCGACGUGCUCUCUUUUCAAGGGAAAGGUUUUUCUUCCUGGGCCCUGGAAUGGGCCUGAAGUCAGCCGGCCUCAGCCCACAGGGUGAAUGAGGGGUGGGCACAGCCCGGCCGCGGCCCCAGCACACACGGGCGGACGCAGGGGCGGGGGAGCGCCAGCCCCGCAGUGUGUUCGGAGCCCAGCGGCUCUGAGUCGCCGCCACCAGCCUGGCCGCCUUCUGCUCCACGUCUGUUCACCCGUCCCCUGGACCGGCACCGCCACAGAGGGUCAGAGUGUUGGCACCUGUCUUCCGGGUCAGUUCACCCGUCCCCUGGACCGGCACCGCCACAGAGGGUCAGAGUGUUGGCACCUGUCUUCCGGGUCAGUUCACCCGUCCCCUGGACCGGCACCGGCACAGAGGGUCAGAGUGUUGGCACCUGUCUUCCGGAUCUGUUCACCCCUCCCCCGGACCGGCACCGCCACAGAGGGUCAGGAGUGUUGGCACCUGUCUUCCGGGUCAGUUCACCCGUCCCCUGGACCGGCACCGCCACAGAGGGUCAGGAGUGUUGGCACCUGUCUUCCGGAUCUGUUCACCCGUCCCCUGGACCGGCACCGCCACAGAGGGUCAGAGUGUUGGCACCUGUCUUCCGGAUCUGUUCACCCGUCCCCUGGACCGGCACCGCCACAGAGGGUCAGAGUGUUGGCACCUGUCUUCCGGAUCUGUUCACCCGUCCCCUGGACCGGCACCGCCACAGAGGGUCAGAGUGUUGGCACCUGUCUUCCGGAUCUGUUCACCCGUCCCCUGGACCGGCACCGCCACAGAGGGUCAGAGUGUUGGCACCUGUCUUCCGGAUCUGUUCACCCCUCCCCUGGAUCGGCACCGGCACAGAGGGUCAGAGUGUUGGCACCUGUCUUCCGGAUCUGUUCACCCGUCCCCUGGACCGGCACCGCCACAGAGGGUCAGAGUGUUGGCACCUGUCUUCCGGAUCUGUUCACCCCUCGCCUGGACCGGCACCGGCACAGAGGGUCAGAGUGUUGGCACCUGUCUUCCGGAUCUGUUCACCCCUCCCCUGGACCGGCACCGCCACAGAGGGUCAGAGUGUUGGCACCUGUCUUCCGGAUCUGUUCACCCCUCCCCUGGAUCGGCACCGGCACAGAGGGUCAGAGUGUUGGCACCUGUCUUCCGGAUCUGUUCACCCGUCCCCUGGACCGGCACCGGCACAGAGGGUCAGAGUGUUGGCACCUGUCUUCCGGGUCUGUUCACCCGUCCCCUGGACUGGCACCAGCACAGAGGGUCGAGUGUUGGCACCUGUCUUCUGGGUCUCCAUCCCUCCCUUUGUUUGUUGAGUGACUGCAUGUUCUCAUUUCCUUAUCAUACAAUUCUUUGAGAGGUAUCAUUAGCUGCGUCUUAUUUUAUUUUCACCUUCUUUUCUGUUACCUGUAUGUUUGAAUUUUCCUAUAAGUAUUUUUGUUUCAUCUUUGCUUUUUUAAAUUAAAAAAUCAGUUUUAAAAUUGCACCUGCAGUACAAAAUCAGGGUGGCGACCGGGUUGCUGCCAUUCCCUCCCCUCGGGUCUGUGGCUUCUCAGCUCCAGCUCGGGUCACAGACCUGCUGCCACGGCCCCAGGGUGGGCACAGGGCUAGCAGGACAGUCAUGCAGGCAGCCGCGGCCCCAGCGAUUGGUCCAGGAGGAGGGCAGGUGACCACACGCGGCCAAUCACAAUCCUUCCCUGGGAGUUUUUGAACUGGAACAAGAGAGGAAGGACCUCUUCUUUGAUCUGCGUGGGAGGCAAGCCCAGAGUGGCCUGGACAGCCGCUGGGAAGAGAAGGUGGGCAGAGCGGCGGAGGGUGUGCUAAUGGUUGGGUCUGUGGGGCCUGAAACCGGUGCCCCUGCCCAUCCUAUAGUUUGGUGCUUGAGCCAGCACAGUCCCAGGUGUCCCUGACGCCUCCGAGCUGGGUUUCUGUCACUCGCAGCUGCAGCAUUCUGGCACAGACCCUUGGCCCAGGACCCCUGUGCAGAGGUGGGUUUGGGUCUCCCCGGCCCCAGCAGCCCCAGGAGCCUGUGAGAUCUAAGCCGGAAGCUGCUCUGGGCACCUGAGUGCUGACAGCCCGAGUGAUGGGAACAGGCUCGCUACUAUGCAGAGACAGAGAGACUAAUUUUUAUCAGCCAGAUACCUGGCCAGGCCCCAGGGUGGACAAUCUCCAAACCGCAUGCAUCCCGGCACUGACAAAGCCGUCUAUCAUUGCUGGAGCCAGGACACCCGGGGAGGCUGUGCCAGGCCACGGGGUGAGGGAGCUGCCUCCCUCCAGUCCUUCUCCCGUGGGGCACUGAGACGGCUUUCAGCAAGACAAAUGCCCAGGCCACAGGGUGAGGGAGCUGCCGCCCUCCAAUCCUUCUCCCGCGGGGCACCAAAAUGGCUUUCAGCAGGACAAAUGCCCAGGCCAUGGGGUGAGGGAGUUGCCGCCCUCCAGUCCUUCUCCCACGGGGCACCGAGACGGCUUUCAGCAAGACAAAUGCGGCCCUGCCACUCCCUGACCGAGAUAAAGUCUCAGCUCCUGAGCCUGGGGUGCCUGCUGCUCGCCCCCAUCGCCUCUCUGAGCUCCAGCCUCACAGGCACACACCGCUCCCCUGCCCAGAACAUUCUGCCCACAAACUCCUCUUAGCCUCAGGUCCCUGCUGAGUGGCCAUUCCUGCUGGGAGGCAGGAAUUCCCUGAUCUACCCUUCCUGAGUCUGGGAGAGACGCCUCCCAUACCCCCAUGACAGCCCAUCACAAUUGUUCACGGAUCUCUGUGUUCUCCCUCAACAAAUACUUGGCGGACCCCCUGGAGCCACAGCUCAAGGCUUCCUUCCCCCCCACCCCCACACCCUGGGGACAGCAUGUCCAGGACCCCCACGCAGGGCCUGUGUCGAGACGGCAUGUCCAGGACCCCCACGCAGGGCCUGUGUCGAGACGGCAUGUCCAGGACCCCCACGCAGGGCCUGUGUCGAGACGGCAUGUCCCGCCAUCGGGUUUGCUGCUGAAUGAGCAGAUGAUCUAAUGAGUGACCGUCCUCACCCACGAGAAAAAACACAACCUGGUCUCCGUCUGCCGGUUAGAUCGGCCCCCAGUCCUGCUGGCCCCAGCGAUGACAGAGGAGGAGGAAUGAGGAGUGCCGUGCCUGGGCUGGGCCAUCGCCUCUCUCCCUCGGCUGGGUUUGUCAUGCUCAGCCAGACCCGCUCCCGGUGGAGAGGCCGAGGGACCCUCAUUUCUACGUUUGCAUCCCUUUCUUCCAGGGCCUGCGGGGCUGACAGGCACACAGCCAGUGGUGAAGGUUCACGGAAGAACGAAGGAAGGAGUGAGCGUGGGGAGAGCCAGCCAGGCUCCCCAUGUCCACCCAGAUGGUGAGCUGGCCCUGCCCUGGAGACACUGUGUCCAGAGGCCAGCAUAGCCCUCAAAACGGUUCCCACAGCUCCCAGCGGAGCCCUCAAAAUGGUCCCCACAGCUGCCGCCCACUCUUGGGACCCUGAGUGUGGGGAGGCUGGGGUUGAGCAGUGGGGAUCAGGAUCUGGCAGGAUCGGAAUGUAGAGGCCUGGGGGCUCCCGGCUGGGGACAGUGCCAGCAGGAGUGGCCGGGACGAUGACGAGGUGAGGUGUCUGCUCCCAGGCUGUGUGUGGCUUGGAUGCCAAAGCGCCUUUUGCUGUAUUCGGCACCCUGAGACCCUUAUGUCUGCCUAUUGAAGGCACAGUUUACUCCCGGGAAAAUAAACAUUUGGGUUUAUUUCGCUGUGACUGCA
Long non-coding RNA from Homo sapiens (human), 4588 nucleotides. RefSeq lists it as uncharacterized. The transcript is spliced from 2 exons. The record is from RefSeq and is marked validated. Lineage: Eukaryota; Metazoa; Chordata; Mammalia; Primates; Hominidae.